GUGCCAGACUCCUACGGGAGGCAGCAGUGGGGAAUAUUGCACAAUGGGGGAAACCCUGAUGCAGCGACGCCGCGUGAGCGAUGAAGUAUUUCGGUAUGUAAAGCUCUAUCAGCAGGGAAGAAGAUGACGGUACCUGACUAAGAAGCCCCGGCUAACUACGUGCCAGCAGCCGCGGUAAUACGUAGGGGGCAAGCGUUAUCCGGAUUUACUGGGUGUAAAGGGAGCGUAGACGGCGAUGCAAGCCAGAUGUGAAAGCCCGGGGCUCAACCCCGGGACUGCUCUGGAAACUAUUGAACUUGAGUGCAGGAGAGGUAAGCGGAAUUCCUAGUGUAGCGGUGAAAUGCGUAGAUAUUAGGAGGAACACCAGUGGCGAAGGCGGCUUACUGGACUGUAACUGACGUUGAGGCUCGAAAGCGUGGGGAGCAAACAGGAUUAGAUACCCGCGUA
RNAcentral lists this ribosomal RNA (447 nucleotides) under uncultured bacterium. RNAcentral's name for it is "bacterial SSU rRNA". It matches the Rfam family "Bacterial small subunit ribosomal RNA", at positions 328 to 792 of the family's 1533-position model. The record is from RNAcentral.